UAACCUGUCCUGCCACUACUACAAAAUUUGGAUAAAGGACCCCAAAUAAAAGACCCGUCAUAUCAAUCAACAGGUCUGUUUUAUGUAAGAGAUCUAAUAUUAUAGAUGACAGGUCUGUAAUGUGUACUAGGUCCUACCACUAUGGAGACAAAAAAAAAUUAAAAAAAUUAAGAGAUCCGUUGUCAAAGCCAGCGGAUCUCUAAUAUGUAGUAGGCCCAAUACUUGGGUAACAAAAUUAGAAAGAAAAAGAUAACAGAACCGUUAUUACACUUGACUGGCCUUGAUUUUUUAAAACUUUAUUAGUCACCUUCCUCGUCAUUUCCGCCAAUCCGCCUAGCUCUAAUAGGCAAGUAUUCAUUCCUCUUUCCCUGGAUUUUUCCUCUACCUUUCCUCGUCAUUUCCGCCUCCUCUAAUCUGUCUUACACUCUCACUCUCUAUCCCCUCCUUCCUCUCCAAGUCGCACUAAAAUAAUUUAGCGAGUUGAUACCGGUGCAGAAUUAUUUGGCGAUGAUCGGUGGUUAGUGAUGGUAACGUUUGUAUAAGUGAAGGCGGGUCGAUAGCGGUGGUCGAUUGAACAACAAGAAGACUAGAAAUCGUUACUGAAAUCUAAAUUUGAUAAAGAUUUGAAAUACUUUAUUGGUAUGUUGUUGCAAAAUUAAGGUGUUUUCCAUAGCUUGUUGGGAAUUAUUGAGAUGACAUUGUUGAUAUCGUUGGUUUUUUCGAACUUUGAGGACCGCAAAUCGGCAUUUUACAUUCCUCCUGUUAUAACAUUAGUUCGUACUUUUAGAUUUCAAAUUAGUUUAUAAAUGUAACUUGUAACAAUU
Molecule: long non-coding RNA, 824 nt
Organism: Chenopodium quinoa (quinoa)
Lineage: Eukaryota; Viridiplantae; Streptophyta; Magnoliopsida; Caryophyllales; Amaranthaceae
Exons: 3
Source: RefSeq, a predicted model, not a curated record